UAAACGGUCCUUUUCAGGACCAGAUAAAGUUAUUCCUUAAGAGUUAU
Aedes albopictus (Asian tiger mosquito) is the source of this 47-nucleotide non-coding RNA. The record is from Rfam. Lineage: Eukaryota; Metazoa; Arthropoda; Insecta; Diptera; Culicidae.